AUUAGUUUUGAGGUUGUGGAUGGAGGAAUGAUCUGCUCAAGCGGUACAUGUCUGGAGGCAAUGGGAGAUAAGAACGAAGAUUGUUACAUUGUUAAUGCUGCAGUUUAUGUUGGUUAUUAAUCAUCUGAAGACUUCUCCAAUUAAGGGUUUUGCACAUUGUAAUAAUUUCCGAUAUUCCGUAAAUGGUAUCAAUAUUUGAACUGUCUCGACUUUUUUG
This 217-nucleotide unclassified non-coding RNA is filed under the name Hevea brasiliensis (rubber tree). Lineage: Eukaryota; Viridiplantae; Streptophyta; Magnoliopsida; Malpighiales; Euphorbiaceae. The record is from RNAcentral.